UCAAUGCUCUAGUUGUUUGUGUUAAGGGAUAAGUUAUCCCACCACCCUGUUAUUGUAAAUGUACUGUAGUGGCAUUCUUAAAAAUAUAUAGUCUUCAAAAAUCUCUAGAAUUCUCUUAGGUCUUCUAGAAUCUUCUGAGAUAUUGCCUUAGAGGUUUAUAAAUAGGAGAAAUUGUAUUCAUUCUUUUCAUCAAGAAAUACAAGCCUCUCUCUGUUAUUUUACAUGGUAUCAGAGCAGACUAUCUGAUACUAUUCUGCUCUCCUUUCCUAUCUUCCUCCUCAUCAAUUUCAAUAUGCUAUCUUCUUCUCUUCUUCCCCACUCCUCUCCUUGCCUUGGUCAUGGGGACACCUUGUUUCUGGCUCUAGUCUUUGGCCACCUUGUCUUCCCUCUCCUGUUGAUGUUUGCCUCUAGCCACCGUCCAGCACAUAGCCACCACUUCUUGUUGCAAUCUCAUUUGCUACUGCCCAUUGCUUCAAUGUCACAUAUUUUUUUUAUCCUUUUCAUUAAGAAAAUACGUGACUCUAUUAUUUUAUAUGGUACUAGAGCAGGCACCACUCCCCCCCUCUUUUCUCCACUUCAAGUUUUUUGGUAGUGAUCAAAAGAGGGGUAGUGUAGGGUGUGAGGAGAUAAGGUGGGUGGAUGGAUGGAGGGAGGGGGAUUCUAUAUAUUACGAAAAUGCCACUGCAGUAUAUUUACAAGAAUGCCAUAAUGGAAUAACUUAUCCCUUAACAGUUUCCUACCACCUCUGUCUAUUAUGUUUGGCAGUGACUUGUUUUCUCUAAGAAGUUCGCCUUAGUAAAGAAAUGUUCGAAAGUGACAUAUUUGCUCGUCUUAUCAUGAGGCAUACUGUAUGAUGCUUGAUUGAAAGAAAUGUUAUUUUUUGUUCCACCCAGCAAUGGUACAGGUUAGUUACACCUUCGGGUUACCUAAACUUUUCGUCUGGUGGGCCCUAUCAUUGGAUGUGCCAUGCACCAAUUCUCCUCCACAUGAUCCUAACCUUCUUACUGGUGACUUGGAAAUGGACAAUUACAGAGAAUGAUCUGCACAUAACAGGGGAGAAAAAAAAAUCAAACAGUUAGCAUGAUCCAAUUGGGAGAUUCUUGGGUUCUAUCUCAUCCACAAUGGCCCAUCAUAUGACUAGUGUGGAUCACCAAAAGGUGGUCCAUGUUCAUUAUUGGGGGGGAACAAAUGCUUGAUCAAGCAUUGUAUGUUUCCUCUUUGAUCAUUAUUUUUAUCCAUUUGCAGUGCAUCUUGAAACUUUAAUAUAUAUCUUUUUGGCUCCCUCAACAACAGGAAAAAAAAAAAAAAAACAAAAA
This is a long non-coding RNA of Magnolia sinica, 1316 nucleotides long. RefSeq lists it as uncharacterized. The transcript has 2 exons. Lineage: Eukaryota; Viridiplantae; Streptophyta; Magnoliopsida; Magnoliales; Magnoliaceae. The record is from RefSeq and is a predicted model, not a curated record.